Long non-coding RNA from Lynx canadensis (Canada lynx), 320 nucleotides. RefSeq lists it as uncharacterized. The transcript is spliced from 3 exons. NCBI's taxonomy places the organism in Eukaryota, Metazoa, Chordata, Mammalia, Carnivora, Felidae. The record is from RefSeq and is a predicted model, not a curated record.
GGGGUCGUGUCUGUUUGAAAAUUUAAGAAGCAGAUGAUGUCUGAGAAUAUUCCUGAAGCUCAGAUUCCAAGGACCAGCGGAAUUGACCAGAAGGAACCUCAGAAAGGAAACAGGAGGGGAGAGCUGGAGAAAGCUGGACGGCAGCUGUGUUGACCGGAGGAACCUCGAGGAGCUGAGAGAAGGAGAGGAUCGCCACAGGCAAAUGCUGGCCAAUGCCACGUCCGACUCCCAGCCUUUCCCAAGUGGCCCGUUGGCUCCCGGUGCUCCACUCACAGCCCACAGAGGCCCGCAAGUGUCCGGGGGUCCCCUGGGCCACCAGC